Molecule: small RNA, 506 nt
Filed under: Cladosporium cladosporioides
Lineage: Eukaryota; Fungi; Ascomycota; Dothideomycetes; Cladosporiales; Cladosporiaceae
Description: eukaryotic LSU rRNA
Rfam family: 5.8S ribosomal RNA (bases 187-340)
Source: RNAcentral
UCCGUAGGUGAACCUGCGGAGGGAUCAUUACAAGUGACCCCGGUCUAACCACCGGGAUGUUCAUAACCCUUUGUUGUCCGACUCUGUUGCCUCCGGGGCGACCCUGCCUUCGGGCGGGGGCUCCGGGUGGACACUUCAAACUCUUGCGUAACUUUGCAGUCUGAGUAAACUUAAUUAAUAAAUUAAAACUUUUAACAACGGAUCUCUUGGUUCUGGCAUCGAUGAAGAACGCAGCGAAAUGCGAUAAGUAAUGUGAAUUGCAGAAUUCAGUGAAUCAUCGAAUCUUUGAACGCACAUUGCGCCCCCUGGUAUUCCGGGGGGCAUGCCUGUUCGAGCGUCAUUUCACCACUCAAGCCUCGCUUGGUAUUGGGCAACGCGGUCCGCCGCGUGCCUCAAAUCGACCGGCUGGGUCUUCUGUCCCCUAAGCGUUGUGGAAACUAUUCGCUAAAGGGUGUUCGGGAGGCUACGCCGUAAAACAACCCCAUUUUCUAAGGUGACCUCGGAUC